AAGAUUGUAAAUGAUGCGAAGACUUCCUUAUCUUAAGUAGACUACUUGGUAUUAACCUGAAAGUAAAAAGAGCGAUUUGCACAUUUUCUGGGGCCGAGACGAUAUGUGGAAUAUGAUUCCCUUUCUUCUAACGCCAAAUGUAUAGGUAUGUUGUCGGCCAACCGUAACCUAAGAUUGUAGAGAAAUGGAGAUAGCUGAAUUAGAAUAGGCAUCUGAUCUACCUUCUUUUUUCUCACUUGAGCUUUAAACUGGAUUUAGAAGCAUUUUACAACAAUUCUCCAUGAUGUAUGCAUGCUAUAAUUAUGGUACAAUGAUACAAACACGGAUUUGAGUGAAGGUUGUCUGCAGAACUAAAACAUAUUGCGUAUUAGUCAACUGUGUUAUAGCAUUACUCAUUGUAUGUACUGCAUUUGUCGGUGGGUUCC
This 425-nucleotide long non-coding RNA is filed under the name Olea europaea (common olive). RNAcentral describes it as "long non-coding RNA (OEUR_LNC014230)". The record is from RNAcentral. Lineage: Eukaryota; Viridiplantae; Streptophyta; Magnoliopsida; Lamiales; Oleaceae.